UUUGUUCUUACUUUCGAUUGUGUUUCCUGCCAUAUUCAUAGUCUAAACCCUCCUGGUUGACAUUUUUCUCUCGUUUUCCUUUUCGCACCCUAAUUAGAGAUGCUGGUGGAGAACUAUAUAGGAAAGAAGGCCAUCAGUUGGAUGUGCUGAUCUGGCGUUUCUCAUACUCCGACUGUUUGUCUGCCAUCUAGCUGAUGUAAGACCAGCCCGUGGCGUGACAUACUGAAACUUCCAGGCAGUAUGAUGGAGUUUUGGAGGACCGUAAAACCAACAGUGUAGCAGAUAUGAGAAACGAUCGCAGGGACGAAGCGGAGCGAGUGGUAGAAGUCUACGGCUGCGGGAUUUCUCCGGGGAACAUCUUGCCGUCAUGCUCCACUGCUGUCUGAAGAGCGCCAGGGAAACCCUGACUGCAGAAGCGGGACGAGAGCUGAGACGAGAAAAGAGACAGAGCGUGAGGGAAUGAACGCAACGGCGCGUGUGUGUGCGAGGCUCUGUGGGAGAGAAACAGGUGCUUCCUGUGCUUUUGAAAUGCGAGUAUGUGUGUGCGCAAGUAGCUCUGCCUGAAAAGCGUGUGCUGUUUGCAUGCGAUUACCGGCCCUGCUCCGUGUGUGUGCGUGUGUGAGAUUGUGUGGCAGCUUGCGGUGUGUGUAUGUGUGUGUGCGUACCUGGCUCACGCUGAGACAGGACCAUUAAUCCUGCUUACUGGCCGUUGAGCAGCGUAGAGCAGCGCAGAGAUAAAGAGCCAAAUCCCUCUCUCUCUCUCUCUCUCUCUCGCCCGCUCGCUCUAGGCGUGAUGACUGACUCGGCCUGUCUGUCGUCACCUGUAACGAGCCGACGUGAUUUAAUUCAAUUGCGUUCGAUUCAAUGACUCAACUGUAAUGUCAUAAACUGCGAUAUGAUAAUUGUAUUGAUGAUGCGCUUCCUGCGGGUUGAAUAGCUCAUCCAUGACCAGACGUGUUCUGCGGUUGUGUGUGAAAUCGUUACUAGUGAGGUCAGAUCAACACCGACCUGGAGUCACAGGGAGCGAGAGAGAGAGAGAGAGAGAGAGAGGGCUGUGUGUCGGGUCAGAGCGCUGGUCACACUUUCUGUAAUACACGCGUUCGUCAAUAACUGCCUGAUCGAUACUCUUAACUGUGCAUUGAUGACUGAUACACAGGCCUGCUGGAAUAAUACACACACAGUUUUUCCCUGCAUUGCUUCUCAGACCCUCACCUGCCUCUCUUUCAGCCUGUUUGUCUCUCGGUCUGCCUUUCUUGCUGUCUAUAUAAGGGGCUUUCGCACCAAAUAGUUCUAGGAACUCCGUUAUAAGAACUGGCCACUAGGAUAGUUCCCUGAGAACUAAUUUCUCCCCCCCGGGCUAUGUUCCUGUGUGCAUUCUAUCUAUCUACCUCUUUGUAUCUUUCUACCAGUCUUUUUUGUCUAAUACCUGUCUGUCUCUCCUUUCUAUCUAUCGUUCUCUAACUUUGUCCUUCUCUGUGCAUGUCUAUCUAGCGGUCUCGCUCUCUCGCUCUCUCUCUCUCUCUCUCUCUCUUGUCAACAGCGAUAUAUUAAUAGUUCCAGCCGCCGAGACCCAAUUCCCAGAGCCGUGUAAGAAUUCAUCCUGUCUCUCUCUCCAGCGGGGGGGCUGACUCUUACGCAUUUGGAAAUUUGGCCUGUAAGUACCCUUCAGCUGGGGAUCAAAGCUGUACGCGGCACACACUCCGCCUGAGAACGGACGUAUGGGCCCAUAACGGGAGGAGUGUGUGUGUGAGCAAGGUCAGCAAGCGGUGACUCAGUUUUGAAUGCUGCACAAUCUCCAGACGGCGAUCCCCACCGCACAGGAUUGGACCGUGUGUGUGUGGAUCCAGGCACUGAAAAACACAGCUUGACAUGCAAAUUUUCCACACUGCGCUUAAGGGAAUAAACUCACCCAGGACGACUGUGGGACUUGUACUGGUUCAAAUUUAUUCCCCCGAACCCUUGAAUAUUUCCACACUGACCUGCAGUCAGUCCUUCCCACAGCUAGUUGCGUCUGAUCUGGAAUCAGUUCAUGACAUCACUGUGUUGAUCCAAGGGGUCAGGGAUUAGCUGGUUAGCACUUAGCCUCUGCUAGUAGAUGCCGUAACUACACCACUCUGUGGAUAGAAAACUUUAGCAUAACACAAGAUGCAUUUUAAAUGUACAUUUAAAAAAAAUAAAGAUGUUUUAAGUGGUUCUUAAAAGUGUGAAAUGGAUCACAUAAUUUUCCUGUGGCUCCACAAUCAUAUUCUACAAAACAUCAAAGAAAUUAAGUGGCUUAACGAGUUUUAAAUUGGUCUUUUAUCUAAUUAAAUGUCUACAAUUUAUUGUUUAUCAUAUGUGUUUAUCUGUAUUGAGUUUUUACCCUAUAUUAUGUUAUGUUCAGCACAUUAGCCAACAGCUGUUGUUUCAAUUAUGCUCUAUAAAUAAAGUGACAUUGACAUAAUUUCUUAAAAC
Molecule: long non-coding RNA, 2454 nt
Organism: Ctenopharyngodon idella (grass carp)
Lineage: Eukaryota; Metazoa; Chordata; Actinopteri; Cypriniformes; Xenocyprididae
Exons: 2
Source: RefSeq, a predicted model, not a curated record